UGCCUUUAUGUGUUGCCCUUUCUCUAAACCUGUAGUGAUUGGGGUGUCAAAAAAGGCAGAAAGUGACUUUUGCGGUUGUUUAUGAACGAGAUUUCACUUGAUUCGUUUACACAAACAGCUGCAUGGACACCAGUA
RNAcentral lists this small nucleolar RNA (135 nucleotides) under Gambusia affinis (western mosquitofish). RNAcentral describes it as "Small nucleolar RNA SNORA13 (ENSGAFG00000014801.1)". It matches the Rfam family "Small nucleolar RNA SNORA13". From Rfam's summary of the family: ACA13 is a member of the H/ACA class of snoRNA that guide the sites of modification of uridines to pseudouridines. The record is from RNAcentral. Lineage: Eukaryota; Metazoa; Chordata; Actinopteri; Cyprinodontiformes; Poeciliidae.